UACGGGGGGGGCUAGCGUUGUUCGGAAUUACUGGGCGUAAAGGGCUCGUAGGCGGCCAACUAAGUCAGACGUGAAAUCCCUCAGCUUAACUGGGGAACUGCGUCUGAUACUGGAUGGCUUGGAUUUGGGAGAGGGAUGCGGAAUUCCAGGUGUAGCGGUGAAAUGCGUAGAUAUCUGGAGGAACACCGGUGGCGAAGGCGGCAUCCUGGACCAACAUUGACGCUGAGGAGCGAAAGCUAGGGGAGCAAACGGG
Molecule: ribosomal RNA, 253 nt
Filed under: uncultured bacterium
Lineage: Bacteria
Description: partial 16S ribosomal RNA
Rfam family: Bacterial small subunit ribosomal RNA
Source: RNAcentral